Molecule: ribosomal RNA, 301 nt
Filed under: uncultured bacterium
Lineage: Bacteria
Description: partial 16S ribosomal RNA
Rfam family: Bacterial small subunit ribosomal RNA
Source: RNAcentral
CAGCAGCCGCGGGAAUACGGAGGGGGCUAGCGUUGUUCGGAAUUACUGGGCGUAAAGCGCACGUAGGCGGCUUGGUAAGUUAGAGGUGAAAGCCUGGAGCUCAACUCCAGAAUUGCCUUUAAGACUGCCGAGCUAGCAGGUGAGAGAGGUAAGUGGAAUUCCGAGUGUAGAGGUGAAAUUCGUAGAUAUUCGGAAGAACACCAGUGGCGAAGGCGGCUUACUGGCUCAUACUGGACGCUGAGGCACGAAAGCGUGGGGAGCAAACAGGAUUAGAUACCCCUGUAGUCCCUGUCUCUUAUAC